This 497-nucleotide ribosomal RNA is filed under the name uncultured bacterium. Its description in RNAcentral is "partial 16S ribosomal RNA". It matches the Rfam family "Bacterial small subunit ribosomal RNA", at positions 28 to 507 of the family's 1533-position model. The record is from RNAcentral.
GAUGAACGCUGGCGGCGUGCCUAAUACAUGCAAGUCGAGCGAACGGACGAGAAGCUUGCUUCUCUGAUGUUAGCGGCGGACGGGUGAGUAACACGUGGAUAACCUACCUAUAAGACUGGGAUAACUUCGGGAAACCGGAGCUAAUACCGGAUAAUAUUUUGAACCGCAUGGUUCAAAAGUGAAAGACGGUCUUGCUGUCACUUAUAGAUGGAUCCGCGCUGCAUUAGCUAGUUGGUAAGGUAACGGCUUACCAAGGCAACGAUGCAUAGCCGACCUGAGAGGGUGAUCGGCCACACGGGAACUGAGACACGGACCAGACUCCUACGGGAGGCAGCAGUAGGGAAUCUUCCGCAAUGGGCGAAAGCCUGACGGAGCAACGCCGCGUGAGUGAUGAAGGUCUUCGGAGCGUAAAACUCUGUUAUUAGGGAAGAACAUAUGUGUAAGUAACUGUGCACAUCUUGACGGUACCUAAUCAGAAAGCCACGGCUAACUACGUG